This 815-nucleotide ribosomal RNA is filed under the name Ophiocordyceps sinensis. RNAcentral describes it as "SSU rRNA". It matches the Rfam family "Eukaryotic small subunit ribosomal RNA", at positions 74 to 899 of the family's 1831-position model. The record is from RNAcentral. Lineage: Eukaryota; Fungi; Ascomycota; Sordariomycetes; Hypocreales; Ophiocordycipitaceae.
UUAUACAGCGAAACUGCGAAUGGCUCAUUAUAUAAGUUAUCGUUUAUUUGAUAGUACCUUACUACCUGGAUAACCGUGGUAAUUCUAGAGCUAAUACAUGCUGAAAAUCCCGACUCCGGAAGGGAUGUAUUUAUUAGAUUCAAAGCCAAUGCCCUCCGGGCUCACUGGUGAUUCAUGAUAACUCCUCGAAUCGCACGGCCUUGCGCCGGCGAUGGUUCAUUCAAAUUUCUUCCCUAUCAACUUUCGAUGUUUGGGUAGUGGCCAAACAUGGUUGCAACGGGUAACGGAGGGUUAGGGCUCGACCCCGGAGAAGGAGCCUGAGAAACGGCUACUACAUCCAAGGAAGGCAGCAGGCGCGCAAAUUACCCAAUCCCGACACGGGGAGGUAGUGACAAUAAAUACUGAUACAGGGCUCUUUUGGGUCUUGUAAUUGGAAUGAGUACAAUUUAAAUCCCUUAACGAGGAACAAUUGGAGGGCAAGUCUGGUGCCAGCAGCCGCGGUAAUUCCAGCUCCAAUAGCGUAUAUUAAAGUUGUUGUGGUUAAAAAGCUCGUAGUUGAACCUUGGGCCUGGCUGGCCGGUCCGCCUCACCGCGUGUACUGGUCCGGCCGGGCCUUUCCCUCUGUGGAACCCCAUGCCCUUCACUGGGCGUGGCGGGGAAACAGGACUUUUACUUUGAAAAAAUUAGAGUGCUCCAGGCAGGCCUAUGCUCGAAUACAUUAGCAUGGAAUAAUGAAAUAGGACGCGCGGUUCUAUUUUGUUGGUUUCUAGGACCGCCGUAAUGAUUAAUAGGGACAGUCGGGGGCAUCAGUAUUC